GACGAACGCUGGCGGCGUGCCUAACACAUGCAAGUCGAACGGAAACGCCGUGCCUUUGUGCGGUGCUCGAGUGGCGAACGGGUGAGUAACACGUGAGUACCCUGCCCUUGACUUUGGGAUAACCUCAGGAAACUGGGUCUAUUACCGGAUAGGAGUUCCUGCUGCAUGGUGGGGCCUGGAAAGCUUCGGCGGUUGGGGAUGGACUUGCCGCUUAUGAGCUUGUUGGUGGGGUAGUGGCUCACCAAGGCCUUGCAGGGUAGCCGACCUGAGAGGGUAGACGGCCACAAUAGGCCUGCGAUACGGACCAGACUGGAAUGGGAGGCAACGGUGGAGAGUAUUAUACAAUAGGCGGGAGCCUGAUGCGACGGCGCCGCGGGCGGGAAGACGUCCUGCCGGUAGUGAACCGCUUUCGCCUGAGACGGGGCGUGAGUGACGGUACUGGGUGAAUAAGCACCGGCUAACUACGUG
This 468-nucleotide ribosomal RNA is filed under the name uncultured bacterium. RNAcentral describes it as "partial 16S ribosomal RNA". It matches the Rfam family "Bacterial small subunit ribosomal RNA", at positions 28 to 507 of the family's 1533-position model. The record is from RNAcentral.